This 495-nucleotide ribosomal RNA is filed under the name uncultured bacterium. RNAcentral describes it as "partial 16S ribosomal RNA". It matches the Rfam family "Bacterial small subunit ribosomal RNA", at positions 28 to 505 of the family's 1533-position model. The record is from RNAcentral.
GAUGAACGCUGGCGGCGUGCCUAAUACAUGCAAGUCGAGCGAACGGACGAGAAGCUUGCUUCUCUGAUGUUAGCGGCGGACGGGUGAGUAACACGUGGAUAACCUACCUAUAAGACUGGGAUAACUUCGGGAAACCGUAGCUAAUACCGGAUAAUAUUUUGAACCGCAUGGUUCAAAAGUGAAAGACGGUCUUGCUGUCACUUAUAGAUGGAUCCGCGCUGCAUUAGCUAGUUGGUAAGGUAACGGCUUACCAAGGCAACGAUGCAUAGCCGACCUGAGAGGGUGAUCGGCCACACUGGAACUGAGACACGGUCCAGACUCCUACGGGGGGCAGCAGUAGGAAAUCUUCCGCAAUGGGCGAAAGCCAGACGGAGCAACGCCGCGUGAGAGAUGAAGGUCUUCGGAUCGUAAACCUCUGUUAUUAGGGAAGAAAAUAUGUGUAAGUAACUGUGCACAUCUUGACGGUACCUAAUCAGAAAGCCACGGCUAAAUACG